CGGCGUGGCGAUAGCACGUUGAAUACACCAGUUCCCAAUGGAUCACUGAAGUUAAGCAACUUUGCAUAUGGUUGGUAUCCGUAUGUGUAUCCAACUAUGCAUGCUGCGGCGG
RNAcentral lists this ribosomal RNA (112 nucleotides) under Diaphorina citri (Asian citrus psyllid). Lineage: Eukaryota; Metazoa; Arthropoda; Insecta; Hemiptera; Psyllidae. The record is from RNAcentral.